GGUCUGAUAGCUCAGUUGGUAGAGCACUUGAUUGAAGCUCAAGGUGUCGGCAGUUCGAAUCUGUCUCGGACCA
Molecule: transfer RNA, 73 nt
Filed under: Aerococcus sp. 1KP-2016
Lineage: Bacteria; Bacillati; Bacillota; Bacilli; Lactobacillales; Aerococcaceae
Description: tRNA-Phe
Rfam family: tRNA
About the family: Transfer RNA (tRNA) molecules are approximately 80 nucleotides in length. Their secondary structure includes four short double-helical elements and three loops (D, anti-codon, and T loops).
Source: RNAcentral